Molecule: ribosomal RNA, 330 nt
Filed under: uncultured eukaryote
Lineage: Eukaryota
Description: partial 18S ribosomal RNA
Rfam family: Eukaryotic small subunit ribosomal RNA
Source: RNAcentral
CCCUUAGAUGUUCUGGGCCGCACGCGUGCUACACUGAUGCAUUCAACGAGUCUAAAACCUGGUCUGAUAGGGCUGGGUAAUCUUUUGAAAGUGCAUCGUGAUUGGGAUAGAUGAUUGCAAUUCUUCAUCUUCAACGAGGAAUGCCUAGUAAACGCAAGUCAUCAGCUUGCAUUGAUUACGUCCCUGCCCUUUGUACACACCGCCCGUCGCUCCUACCGAUCGAAUGAUCCGAUGAAUACCAUGGAUUGAGAGUACGAAUAGGUUCGCUUAUUUCUGCUGCUCGAGAAGUGGAGUAAAUCUUAUCAUUUAGAGGAAGGAGAAGUCGUAACA